This 459-nucleotide ribosomal RNA is filed under the name uncultured bacterium. RNAcentral describes it as "partial 16S ribosomal RNA". It matches the Rfam family "Bacterial small subunit ribosomal RNA", at positions 338 to 795 of the family's 1533-position model. The record is from RNAcentral.
CCUACGGGGGGCAGCAGUGAGGAAUAUUGGUCAAUGGCCGCAGGGCUGAACCAGCCAAGUCGCGUGAGGGAUGACGGUCCUAUGGAUUGUAAACCUUUUUUGUCAGGGAGCAAAGGGCGCCACGUGUGGCGCUUUGCGAGUACCUGACGAAAAAGCAUCGGCUAACUCCGUGCCAGCAGCCGCGGUAAUACGGAGGAUGCGAGAGUUAUCCGGAUUUAUUGGGUUUAAAGGGUGCGCAGGCGGAAUGUCAAGUCAGCGGUAAAAUUUCGGGGCUCAACCCCGUCGUGCCGUUGAAACUGGCGUUCUUGAGUGAGCGAGAAGUAUGCGGAAUGCGGGGUGUAGCGGUGAAAUGCAUAGAUAUCACGCAGAACUCCGAUUGCGAAGGCAGCAUACCGGCGCUCAACUGACGCUCAUGCACGAAAGCGUGGGUAUCGAACAGGAUUAGAUACCCGGGUAGUC